UUGGCUUGUGUCCUGACCAUUCCAAACUGC
RNAcentral lists this non-coding RNA (30 nucleotides) under Mus musculus (house mouse). Lineage: Eukaryota; Metazoa; Chordata; Mammalia; Rodentia; Muridae. The record is from RNAcentral.